GAUGAACGCUGGCGGCGUGCCUAAUACAUGCAAGUCGAGCGAACAGAUAAGGAGCUUGCUCCUUUGACGUUAGCGGCGGACGGGUGAGUAACACGUGGGUAACCUACCUAUAAGACUGGGAUAACUUCGGGAAACCGGAGCUAAUACCGGAUAACAUUUGGAACCGCAUGGUUCUAAAGUGAAAGAUGGUUUUGCUAUCACUUAUAGAUGGACCCGCGCCGUAUUAGCUAGUUGGUAAGGUAACGGCUUACCAAGGCGACGAUACGUAGCCGGCCUGAGAGGGUGAUCGGCCACACUGGAACUGAGACACGGUCCAGACUCCUACGGGAGGCAGCAGUAGGGAAUCUUCCGCAAUGGGCGAAAGCCUGACGGAGCAACGCCGCGUGAGUGAUGAAGGGUUUCGGCUCGUAAAACUCUGUUAUUAGGGAAGAACAAAUGUGUAAGUAACUGUGCACGUCUUGACGGUACCUAAUCAGAAAGCCACGGCUAACUACGUG
Molecule: ribosomal RNA, 497 nt
Filed under: uncultured bacterium
Lineage: Bacteria
Description: partial 16S ribosomal RNA
Rfam family: Bacterial small subunit ribosomal RNA
Source: RNAcentral